GGAAUCUUGGACAAUGGGCGCAAGCCUGAUCCAGCCAUGCCGCGUGAGUGAUGAAGGCCCUAGGGUUGUAAAACUCUUUCGUCAGGGACGAUAAUGACGGUACCUGAAGAAGAAGCCCCGGCUAACUUCGUGCCAGCAGCCGCGGUAAUACGAAGGGGGCUAGCGUUGUUCGGAAUUACUGGGCGUAAAGCGCACGUAGGCGGACUUUUAAGUCAGGUGUGAAAUCCCGGGGCUCAACCUCGGAACUGCAUUUGAAACUGGAAGUCUUGAGACCAGGAGAGGUUAGCGGAAUACCGAGUGUAGAGGUGAAAUUCGUAGAUAUUCGGUGGAACACCAGUGGCGAAGGCGGCUAACUGGACUGGUACUGACGCUGAGGUGCGAAAGUGUGGGGAGCAAAC
Molecule: ribosomal RNA, 398 nt
Filed under: uncultured bacterium
Lineage: Bacteria
Description: bacterial SSU rRNA
Rfam family: Bacterial small subunit ribosomal RNA
Source: RNAcentral